GAUGAAUGCUGGCGGCGUGCUUAACACAUGCAAGUCGAGCGGCAGCGCGAAGAGUUUACUCUUUGGCGGCGAGCGGCGGACGGCUGAGUAACGCGUGGGAACAUGCCCUAAAGUGAGGAAUAACUGCCCGAAAGGGUGGCUAAUGCCGCAUAUGAUCUUCGGAUUAAAGGAUUUAUCCGCUUUAGGAGUGGCCUGCGUAUGAUUAGGUAGUUGGUGAGGUAAUGGCUCACCAAGCCGACGAUCAUUAGCUGGUCUGAGAGGAUGACCAGCCAGACUGGAACUGAGACACGGUCCAGACUCCUACGGGAGGCAGCAGUGAGGAAUAUUCCACAAUGGGCGAAAGCCUGAUGGAGCAACGCCGCGUGAAGGAUGAAGGCCCUCGGGUCGUAAACUUCUUUUAUAAGUGAAGAAUAUGACGGUAACUUAUGAAUAAGCACCGGCUAACUACGUGCCAGCCGCCGCGGUAA
This 467-nucleotide ribosomal RNA is filed under the name uncultured bacterium. RNAcentral's name for it is "partial 16S ribosomal RNA". It matches the Rfam family "Bacterial small subunit ribosomal RNA", at positions 28 to 523 of the family's 1533-position model. The record is from RNAcentral.